Molecule: ribosomal RNA, 454 nt
Filed under: uncultured Prevotellaceae bacterium
Lineage: Bacteria; Pseudomonadati; Bacteroidota; Bacteroidia; Bacteroidales; Prevotellaceae
Description: partial 16S ribosomal RNA
Rfam family: Bacterial small subunit ribosomal RNA
Source: RNAcentral
ACGGGAGGCAGCAGUGAGGAAUAUUGGUCAAUGGGCGAGAGCUUGAACCAGCCAAGUCGCGUGCGGGACGAAGGCCCUACGGGUCGUAAACCGCUUUUAUACGGGAAUAAAGUGCGCCACGUGUGGCGUUUUGCAGGUACCGUACGAAUAAGGAUCGGCUAACUCCGUGCCAGCAGCCGCGGUAAUACGGAGGAUCCGAGCGUUAUCCGGAUUUAUUGGGUUUAAAGGGAGCGUAGGCGGAAGGUCAAGUCAGCUGUGAAAUGUAGUCGCUCAACGUCUGCACUGCAGUUGAAACUGGCCUCCUUGAGUGCGUAAGAGGCAGGCGGAAUUCGUCGUGUAGCGGUGAAAUGCUUAGAUAUGACGAAGAACUCCGAUUGCGAAGGCAGCUUGCUGGGCCGCAACUGACGCUGAAGCUCGAAGGUGCGGGUAUCGAACAGGAUUAGAUACCCUGGUA